GCUAGUGUUGUGUAGCGGUUUGAAUGCUGGACUACAAAUCUGGAGACCAGUGUUCAAUUCCCAGCUCUGCCA
RNAcentral lists this transfer RNA (72 nucleotides) under Phrynosoma platyrhinos (Desert horned lizard). RNAcentral describes it as "tRNA-OTHER". The record is from RNAcentral. Lineage: Eukaryota; Metazoa; Chordata; Lepidosauria; Squamata; Phrynosomatidae.